UACGUAGGGUGCGAGCGUUAAUCGGAAUUACUGGGCGUAAAGUGUGCGCAGGCGGCCAUGCAAGUCGAGUGUGAAAUCCCUAGGCUCAACCUAGGAACUGCACUCGAAACUACCUUCCUUGAGUGUCGGAGAGGAAAGCGGAAUUCCUGGUGUAGAGGUGAAAUUCGUAGAUAUCAGGAGGAACACCAGUGGCGAAGGCGGCUUUCUAGACGAUAACUGACGCUGAGACGCGAAAGCGUGGGGAGCAAACAGA
This 253-nucleotide ribosomal RNA is filed under the name uncultured bacterium. Its description in RNAcentral is "partial 16S ribosomal RNA". It matches the Rfam family "Bacterial small subunit ribosomal RNA", at positions 524 to 776 of the family's 1533-position model. The record is from RNAcentral.